AAAUCUGUGGUGGAAAAGAAGUGUUCAGAUAUGUGUCACAGAUUUAAAUAACAUAAAAACUCAGGAAAGCUGGGGAUCUGUGUGGGCUGCUGGAAGUACAAGUCGGCCUUUGACACAAGGCUGAAGCCUAAUGAGACGAUAUUUCUCUAAGGCUCUGGGCAUUUCUCUUCCCUAAGUCAGUUGACUUGGGCAGGGGGUUGGUGAGAGAAGGCUUCACGGAGCAGAGUCUUACAGGAGGAAAAGGAGUUUCGAAGGCCGACAGAGGACGUGAGGAGAGGAGGCUACAGCGUAGCUUUGGUCCUCUGAGCACUGGGGAGCCCAUGAUCUGACCUGUGCAUUUGGAGGCAUUCCCAGCAACAACACGAAAAGACUACAGUGGCCCAGGUGGUCAACACUGAACGUUUCUGACCAGUACCAAGAAAGGGUGGAGAGAAGAGGUGGAAGGUAGAGUCAUCUCAGAGGUGGAAUCUACAGGGCUUGGAGCCUGAAUUUGCCAACUCUUUGGAGCUACGUGUGUGCACACGUGUGCACACACACACACAUGCACACACACACACAGCAGGAGAAAGCCAGAUUCACCCCACCCCAGACUUUCUGUGGCCUGUUGGGGAUGAGACUACUUACAGUUCCUUAGUUUUCCAUUCUGUAAGAUGGGAAAAAUAAAACCAGAAUCUCAUGGCUCCCAAUGGGAUAUAGUUAUAUAUUAUGUUAGCAUUGAGAACCCUGUGGAAAUGCAGACUGGUCCCCUUCCUCCUGCUAACAGAGAACAGUCUUUCUACCAGAAUACAAUACCCACCACUUGCAUUUUCUGGGUAUCAGAAAGCAAUGGUUUGGGUUUGAGCUAUUCACUCACUUAUGAUCUGAGAUUAUUCUAAAAAGACUUCGCAGCUUAGUCUAAUUGGGUAAUUGGGAUGUUUCCAGAUGAAAUUUGACUUGUAUUUUUAAAAAACGCUUUGAAGAACUGGUUGCCAUGGUGCUGUUCUGCUGACAAGAUCCUACACUGGCUCCCACUAAGCAGCAAUAAUGGGCUUCUGUUUAUUCUGAGUUUCAGGUUACCCUACCUGAACAUCCUCUGGAAGGAAGCAAGGUGUGAACCUGGGGGAAUAAGAGCAGUCCUUCCCUCAGUCUCCUUGAUGGGGGAUGUGUUUCAGCUGAUGGGGAGGUUUGUCACUGUGGGGGCGGGGGACCCGUGCCUAGGCAGGAGGGACUUCCCAGACCGCCUCGCCCCUGGGCAGCUGGGAGUUGAGGAAGAAUCCCCAGCACAUCAUCUGCCACAAUAUAAAUUGGGUGGCUCUCUCAGGAUGUGAAUACUAAUCCUCUCAUAUUUUGGGCAAAUAGGUGUUUGGCAGAGACAAUUAUCUUUAUUUUAAGAAAUAACACGGUUUUAAAAAUUAAUAUUUAUGUUUUCAUAGUAUUACUGUUUUAAAUUGGAAAAAGCCUUUGUUCUAACUCAAUUUUUCAACCUACUGGACAAUAAUUCCUCCCCAUCGUCCUUAAACUUCUUGUAUCCGAGUGUUUAUUAUAAGAAUGUGAAACAUCUUCGCCAGAUGCAGUAUUUUUGGCUUCAUUAAAAGUUUUUCUAGUUCCUCUUCA
This is a long non-coding RNA of Lynx canadensis (Canada lynx), 1593 nucleotides long. RefSeq lists it as uncharacterized. The transcript is spliced from 2 exons. The record is from RefSeq and is a predicted model, not a curated record. Lineage: Eukaryota; Metazoa; Chordata; Mammalia; Carnivora; Felidae.